UGAUAAUAUCAGAGGAUGCUUACCAUUUA
Molecule: non-coding RNA, 29 nt
Filed under: Rattus norvegicus (Norway rat)
Lineage: Eukaryota; Metazoa; Chordata; Mammalia; Rodentia; Muridae
Source: RNAcentral